CCUGUUUAUCAAAAACAUGUCUUUUAGGUUAAUAAUUUAAAGUCUAAUCUGCCCACUGAUAAAUAUUAAAGGGCUGCAGUAUAUUGACUGUACAAAGGUAGCAUAAUCAAUAGUCUUUUAAUUGAAGACUUGUAUGAAAGAUUUGAUGAAAUAUAAACUGUCUCUAAUUUAAAAAUAAAAAUUAAUUUUUUAGUUAAAAAGCUAAAAUUUUUUUAAAAGACGAGAAGACCCUAUAGAGUUUUAUAUAUUUAUUAUUUGAAGUUGUAUUUAUAAUUUAAAAUUUAAAAUGAUAAUUAUAUUUUGUUGGGGUGACAGAAAAAUUAAAAUAACUUUUUUUUUAUAAAAUACAUAAAUAAAUGAAAAUUUGAUCCAUAGAUAAUGAUUAAAAGAAAAAAUUACCUUAGGGAUAACAGCGUAAUAUUUUUUUUUAGUACAAAUAAAAAAAAAAGUUUGCGACCUCGAUGUUGGAUUAAGAUAAAAUUUAAAUGCAAAAGUUUAAAGUUUUGAUCUGUUCGAUCAUUAAAAUCUUACAUGAUCUGA
Molecule: ribosomal RNA, 540 nt
Filed under: Pantoporia hordonia
Lineage: Eukaryota; Metazoa; Arthropoda; Insecta; Lepidoptera; Nymphalidae
Description: partial 16S ribosomal RNA
Rfam family: Bacterial large subunit ribosomal RNA
Source: RNAcentral